This 460-nucleotide ribosomal RNA is filed under the name uncultured delta proteobacterium. RNAcentral's name for it is "bacterial SSU rRNA". It matches the Rfam family "Bacterial small subunit ribosomal RNA", at positions 460 to 915 of the family's 1533-position model. Lineage: Bacteria; Deltaproteobacteria. The record is from RNAcentral.
CCCCGGAAAGUGACGGUACCUCCCAAAGGAAGCACCGGCUAACUCCGUGCCAGCAGCCGCGGUAAUACGGAGGGUGCGAGCGUUGUCCGGGAAUCACUGGGCGUAAAGGGCGCGUAGGCGGCGCGAUAAGUUGGGCGUGAAAGGCCCGGGCUCAACCCGGGGACUGCGCUUGAUACUGUCGCGCUGUGAGUCCGGGAGAGGGAAGCGGAAUUCCGGGUGUAGCGGUGAAAUGCGUAGAUAUCCGGAGGAACACCGGUGGCGAAGGCGGCUUCCUGGACCGACACUGACGCUGAGGCGCGAAAGCUAGGGGAGCAAACAGGAUUAGAUACCCUGGUAGUCCACGCCGUAAACGAUGGGUGCUAGGUGUCGCGGGCUUUGACCCCUGCGGUGCCGUAGCUAACGCAUUAAGCACCCCGCCUGGGGAGUACGGUCGCAAGACUAAAACUUAAAGGAAUUGACG